UACGUAGGGUGCGAGCGUUAAUCGGAAUUACUGGGCGUAAAGCGUGCGCAGGCUGUUCUGUAAGUCAGAUGUGAAAUCCCCGAGCUCAACUUGGGAACUGCGUUUGAAACUACAGGACUAGAAUAUGUCAGAGGGGGGUAGAAUUCCACGUGUAGCAGUGAAAUGCGUAGAGAUGUGGAGGAAUGACCAAUGGCGAAGGCAGCCCCCUGGGAUAAUAUUGACGCUCAUGCACGAAAGGCGUGGGGAGCAAACAGGAUUACGAA
This 263-nucleotide ribosomal RNA is filed under the name uncultured bacterium. RNAcentral's name for it is "partial 16S ribosomal RNA". It matches the Rfam family "Bacterial small subunit ribosomal RNA", at positions 524 to 784 of the family's 1533-position model. The record is from RNAcentral.